GACGUAGGAGGCGAGCGUUGUCCGGAUUCAUUGGGCGUAAAGAGCUCGUAGGCGGCUUGUCGCGUCGUCCGUGAAAACCCACAGCUCAACUGUGGGCUUGCGGUCGAUACGGGCAGGCUAGAGUUCGGUAGGGGAGACUGGAAUUCCUGGUGUAGCGGUGAAAUGCGCAGAUAUCAAGUGGAACACCAGUGGCGAAGGCGAGUCCCUGGACAGAUCCUGACGCUGAGGCACGAAAGCUAGGGGAGCAAACAGG
This 253-nucleotide ribosomal RNA is filed under the name uncultured bacterium. RNAcentral's name for it is "partial 16S ribosomal RNA". It matches the Rfam family "Bacterial small subunit ribosomal RNA", at positions 524 to 776 of the family's 1533-position model. The record is from RNAcentral.